RNAcentral lists this transfer RNA (85 nucleotides) under Felis catus (domestic cat). It matches the Rfam family "tRNA". From Rfam's summary of the family: Transfer RNA (tRNA) molecules are approximately 80 nucleotides in length. Lineage: Eukaryota; Metazoa; Chordata; Mammalia; Carnivora; Felidae. The record is from Rfam by way of RNAcentral.
GCCUGGGUGGCUCAGUUGGUUGAGCGUCUGACUUCAGCUCAGGUCAUAAUCUCGUGGUCUGUGAGUUCGAGCCCCGCAUCGGGCU